UUGGACUACUGGGGUUUCUAAUCCCGUUCGCUACCCUAGCUUUCGAGCCUCAGCGUCAGUUACAGUCCAGAAAGCCGCCUUCGCCACUGGUGUUCUUCCCAAUAUCUACGCAUUUCACCGCUACACUGGGAAUUCCGCUUUCCUCUCCUGCACUCAAGAAAACCAGUUCGGACCCCAUCACGGGGUUGAGCCCCGCACUUUUAAGAUCCGCUUAGUUUCCCGCCUGCGCUCCCUUUACGCCCAAUAAUUCCGGACAACGCUUGCCGCCUACGUAUUACCGCGGCUGCUGGCACGUAGUUAGCCGUGGCUUCCUCGUUAGGUACCGUCAAACAAAGGCUGUAUUAUAACCCUUGCCCUUCGUCCCUAACAACAGAACUUUACGAUCCUAAGACCUUCAUCG
RNAcentral lists this unclassified non-coding RNA (400 nucleotides) under uncultured fungus. Its description in RNAcentral is "sequence contains ITS1". Lineage: Eukaryota; Fungi. The record is from RNAcentral.